Molecule: ribosomal RNA, 492 nt
Filed under: uncultured bacterium
Lineage: Bacteria
Description: partial 16S ribosomal RNA
Rfam family: Bacterial small subunit ribosomal RNA
Source: RNAcentral
AGUGAACGCUGGCGGUAGGCCUAACACAUCCAAGUCGAACGGCAGCACAGUAAGAGCUUGCCCUUACGGGUGGCGAGUGGCGGACGGGUGAGGAAUACAUCGGAAUCUACUUUUUCGUGGGGGAUAACGUAGGGAAACUUACGCUAAUACCGCAUACGACCUACGGGUGAAAGCAGGGGAUCUUCGGACCUUGCGCGAUUGAAUGAGCCGAUGUCGGAUUAGCUAGUUGGCGGGGUAAAGGCCCACCAAGGCGACGAUCCGUAGCUGGUCUGAGAGGAUGAUCAGCCACACUGGAACUGAGACACGGUCCAGACUCCUACGGGAGGCAGCAGUGGGGAAUAUUGGACAAUGGGCGCAAGCCUGAUCCAGCCAUACCGCGUGGGUGAAGAAGGCCUUCGGGUUGUAAAGCCCUUUUGUUGGGAAAGAAAAGCAGCAGGUUAAUACCCCGCUGUUCUGACGGUACCCAAAGAAUAAGCACCGGCUAACUUCGUG